AAGUCGUAACAAGGUUUCCGUAGGUGAACCUGCGGAAGGAUCAUUUCCAAAAAAAUUGAGAAAACAAUGAUAUACACCGUAUUUGGUGUGUGAAGUGUGUGGUGGUAUCCAAAACAUUUUAUUUACUCUCUCUCCAAAGCCAUCGCGUAUGAUUUGGAAGAGAGAGGCCUUGAUGAACCACAUCCGCAAAUGUAUUGGCGUUUGUUUGUCUAAACAAACAACACUAUACAUCAUCGGACGUUAACAUUAUAUACUGUCUAGAUAUAUUUCUACUCGGAUUUGCACUUGGUGCCUCGGCACCAGGUCAAAACCAACAACACAAAAGUACAAAUAUACAGACAACUUUUAACGGUGGAUCUCUUGGCUCGU
RNAcentral lists this unclassified non-coding RNA (369 nucleotides) under fungal sp. RNAcentral describes it as "partial internal transcribed spacer region". The stretch from base 1 to 46 matches the Rfam family "Eukaryotic small subunit ribosomal RNA", at positions 1786 to 1831 of the family's 1831-position model. The record is from RNAcentral. Lineage: Eukaryota; Fungi.